This 497-nucleotide ribosomal RNA is filed under the name uncultured bacterium. Its description in RNAcentral is "partial 16S ribosomal RNA". It matches the Rfam family "Bacterial small subunit ribosomal RNA", at positions 28 to 507 of the family's 1533-position model. The record is from RNAcentral.
GAUGAACGCUGGCGGCGUGCCUAAUACAUGCAAGUCGAGCGAACGGACGAGAAGCUUGCUUCUCUGAUGUUAGCGGCGGACGGGUGAGUAACACGUGGAUAACCUACCUAUAAUACUGGGAUAACUUCGGGAAACCGGAGCUAAUACCGGAUAAUAUUUUGAACCGCAUGGUUCAAAAGUGAAAGACGGUCUUGCUGUCACUUAUAGAUGGAUCCCGGCUGCAUUAUCUAGUUGGUAAGGUAACGGCUUACCAAGGCAACGAUGCAUAGCCGACCUGAGAGGGUGAUAGGCGACACUGGGACUGAGACGCGGUCCAUAGUCCUACGGGAGGGAGCAGUAGGGAAUCUGACGCAGUGGUGGAAAACCUGACGGAGCAACGGGAAGUGAGAGAUGACGGUCUUCGGAUCGUAAAACUCUGUUAUUAGGGAAGAACAUAUGUGUACGUAAAUGUGCACAUAUUGACGGUAACUAAUAAGAAAGCCACGGCUAACUACGUG